This 119-nucleotide ribosomal RNA is filed under the name Pteropus alecto (black flying fox). The record is from RNAcentral. Lineage: Eukaryota; Metazoa; Chordata; Mammalia; Chiroptera; Pteropodidae.
GUCUAUGGCCACCCUGAACAAGCCUGAUCCCAUCUGAUCUCGGAAGCUAAGCAGGGUCGGGCCUGGUUAGUACUUUCCUUGGAUGGGAGACCACCUAGGAAGACCAGGUGCUGUAGGCG